Molecule: ribosomal RNA, 463 nt
Filed under: uncultured bacterium
Lineage: Bacteria
Description: partial 16S ribosomal RNA
Rfam family: Bacterial small subunit ribosomal RNA
Source: RNAcentral
GAUGAACGCUGACAGAAUGCUUAACACAUGCAAGUCGAUGGGGAAGUGGUGCUUGCACCAUGGUAACCAUGGCGGACGGGUGAGUAACGCGUAAGGAACUUGCCUGCGGGACUGGUAUAACAGCAGGAAACUGCUGAUAAUACCGGAUAAGGUCAUUAAGCUGCAUAGCUUAGUGAUGAAAGGAGACGCCUGCGGAGAGCCUUGCGUCCUAUUAGCUAGUUGGAGGGGUAACGGCCCACCAAGGCGAAGAUAGGUAGCCGGCCUGAGAGGGUGGACGGCCACAAGGGGACUGAGAUACGGCCCUUACUCCUACGGGAGGCAGCAGUGGGGAAUAUUGGACAAUGGGGGCAACCCUGAUCCAGCAAUUCUGUGUGCACGAAGACGGUUUUCGGAUUGUAAAGUGCUUUCAGCAGGGAAGAAGGAAGUGACGGUACCUGCAGAAGAAGCGACGGCUAAAUACGUG